ACUGUCUCCUUUUUUCACGCUCCAUUCUCGCCCUUCCUACGUCGGCGCAUCUUUCCGUAUGAUCUUGCAUCCAAUUAUUGUACGUAAGGUCAUGAAAAGUUUGAUUCGAUUAAUACGAAAAUGAACGAGAAAGAACCUUGGUUUCAGAGGAUCGAUAAUUCGACGGAGAGGAUCGUUUUUUUUAAUGUUUCACCCCGUGCAAAAUGUGUACCAUGUAGGUUCCACAUGUUAAUAAUGAUGAGCAAUUAUACCACUGCGAUUUGUCAUCUGUCUUGAUAUUUUUAUUACUUCAAUACGUAAAUAUUAAACCAUAUUUUUAUCCAUACCCUAUCUCAAUGAUUUUAUUGAUAUAGUAUACACAUACUAAAAUAAUGGAUUGAACAGCGUUUGGGAAUGAGAUAAGACUAAAACGGCACAUGUUUUAAGAAGAGUUUAUGAAGAACAUCCGUGUGAAACAGAAUUGUUCGCUUUGUGUCAAAUAUACUAGAAAAAUCAGCAUCUAAAA
This is a long non-coding RNA of Athalia rosae (coleseed sawfly), 505 nucleotides long. RefSeq lists it as uncharacterized. NCBI's taxonomy places the organism in Eukaryota, Metazoa, Arthropoda, Insecta, Hymenoptera, Athaliidae. The record is from RefSeq and is a predicted model, not a curated record. The transcript is spliced from 2 exons.